This 460-nucleotide ribosomal RNA is filed under the name uncultured bacterium. RNAcentral describes it as "partial 16S ribosomal RNA". It matches the Rfam family "Bacterial small subunit ribosomal RNA", at positions 338 to 795 of the family's 1533-position model. The record is from RNAcentral.
CCUACGGGAGGCAGCAGUGAGGAAUAUUGGUCAAUGGACGGAAGUCUGAACCAGCCAUGCCGCGUGCAGGAAGACGGCUCUAUGAGUUGUAAACUGCUUUUGUACAAGGGUAAACCUGAAUACGUGUAUUCAGCUGAAAGUACUUUACGAAUACGGAUCGGCUAACUCCGUGCCAGCAGCCGCGGUAAUACGGAGGAUCCAAGCGUUAUCCGGAUUUAUUGGGUUUAAAGGGUGCGUAGGCGGAUUGAUAAGUUAGAGGUGAAAUGUCCGAGCUUAACUCGGGAACUGCCUCUAAUACUGGUGGUCUAGAGAGUAGAUGCGGUAGGCGGAAUGUAUGGUGUAGCGGUGAAAUGCUUAGAGAUCAUACAGAACACCGAUUGCGAAGGCAGCUUACCAAUCUAUAUCUGACGUUGAGGCACGAAAGCGUGGGGAGCAAACAGGAUUAGAUACCCCAGUAGUC